Molecule: long non-coding RNA, 831 nt
Filed under: Cervus hanglu yarkandensis (Yarkand deer)
Lineage: Eukaryota; Metazoa; Chordata; Mammalia; Artiodactyla; Cervidae
Description: lncRNA (ENSCHYG00000011746.1)
Source: RNAcentral
CACUUUCAUGCAUUGGGGAAGGAAAUGGCAACCCACUCCAGUGUUCUUGCCUGGGGAAUCCCCGGGAUGGAGGAGCCUGGUGGGCUGCCGUCUAUGGGGUCGCACAGAGUCGGACACAACUGAAGCGACUUAGCAGCAGCAGCAGCAUUAUCGUUCAGCCCCUCCAAUUCAUCCCCACUCCGAGACCGAUCGCCACUGAUCCUCUCUCUUCUGAUCCCCUCUCUGUCCCCUCUCUUCUGAUCCUCUGAUGGUGCUGCCAUCCAGAGAUGACCUGGCUUACAGUAGUACUGAAUCUGGAACUCAUCAGACCUGCUGUUUUUCAUGCCCUGCACAGCAACCCAGGGGACUGACUUGCCCAAGGUCCUCCUGUAAAUGGAAUCGCUAGAAGCAGACCCUGAAUCCCUCACCUCUUCAUGGUGAGUGCUUAAUGUCCACCUUGGACUGGGGCUGUGUCCUAUUUUCUUAAGAGGGUCUACUAGAACAGAUAUUUCUAGCUUAAUGUUUAUAGUCAGAGAAGGUAGAAACGAACAAAAACAAUAAUCACAACACGAGGGUCUCCAGUUCUAAGGAAACUGUUGUCAGCGUUGAGGUCUGUAAUAGCCACUUGUAAAUGUGUAAUGGGAAAGGAGUGGGACUUGUGGCUGAUGUCAGCAGGGCAGCUUUUGUCAGAAGCUGCUCUUUUUGCUUUUCCUUUAGAAGCCAGAUCUGAAAGACCCAUUUUCCUCAGAAUUUCUGCUCCGAGGUAAGGCUGGAGGCCUCCUUUCACUCCUACAGUUCAUUUAGGCUGCACUCAGGGUGGUUUCCAAUCAGCAUGGAAACAUUUGUACCUUG